RNAcentral lists this transfer-messenger RNA (358 nucleotides) under chicken gut metagenome. It matches the Rfam family "transfer-messenger RNA". From Rfam's summary of the family: Bacterial tmRNA, also known as 10Sa RNA or SsrA, is named for its dual tRNA and mRNA-like properties. The record is from RNAcentral.
GGGGAUGUAAUUGGUUUCGACAGUAAUUUAGAAGUAUAAGCUGCGAGUAGUGGAUGGUUGCUUUGGCCACUUAAAAAAAGCAAAUUAAAUAUAAACGCUGAUAAUGAUAGAUUAGCAUACGCUGCCUAAUAGUGCGGCGUCGUUUUACCGUAAAGCCUACUGUUAUGGAUAAAGCGUCGAAUAAAGUAGGAAACGAGCUUACUUUUUGUUUCGAAGGUAAGGGGUAGCAUAGAAACUACUUAAAAUUUUUGUUUGUUUGUUAAUGAAAAUUUUAGGGAAAUCUAAUAACAAACUACACUCGUAGAUGCUUGUAUGGAAAAAUUAUUGGACGAGGGUUCAACUCCCUCCAUCUCCACCA